This 105-nucleotide ribosomal RNA is filed under the name Neobacillus niacini. The record is from RNAcentral. Lineage: Bacteria; Bacillati; Bacillota; Bacilli; Caryophanales; Bacillaceae.
UGGCGAGAAGGUCACACCCGUUCCCAUACCGAACACGGAAGUUAAGCUUCUCAGCGCCGAUGGUAGUUGGGACUUUGUCCCUGUGAGAGUAGGACAUUGCCAGGC